RNAcentral lists this unclassified non-coding RNA (271 nucleotides) under uncultured fungus. RNAcentral's name for it is "sequence contains ITS1, 5.8S rRNA gene". The stretch from base 223 to 271 matches the Rfam family "5.8S ribosomal RNA", at positions 1 to 49 of the family's 154-position model. The record is from RNAcentral. Lineage: Eukaryota; Fungi.
UUUCCGUAGGUGAACCUGCGGAAGGAUCAUUAACGAGUUAGGGUCUUCUAGGCCCGAUCUCCCAACCCUUUGUUUACUCAACCAUCGUUGCUUCGGCGAGCCCGUCUUCAUUGACCGCCGGAGGGCCGUUAAAACGUCCUCUGGUCCGCGCUCGUCGGUAGCCAACCCCUAAAUUCUUAAUUAAACGUGUCUAUAUCUGAGUACAAUUAUAAAUAAAGCAAAAACUUUCAACAACGGAUCUCUUGGUUCUGGCAUCGAUGAAGAACGCAGC